Molecule: ribosomal RNA, 331 nt
Filed under: uncultured bacterium
Lineage: Bacteria
Description: bacterial SSU rRNA
Rfam family: Bacterial small subunit ribosomal RNA
Source: RNAcentral
CGCGUAGGCGGCCAUCUUUGUCAGGCGUGAAAGCCCUGGGCUCAACCCAGGAAUUGCGCUUGGGACGGGACGGCUUGAGUUCGGGAGAGGAGAGUGGAAUUCCCAGUGUAGAGGUGAAAUUCGUAGAUAUUGGGAAGAACACCGGUGGCGAAGGCGGCUCUCUGGACCGAUACUGACGCUGAGGCGCGAAAGCGUGGGGAGCAAACAGGAUUAGAUACCCUGGUAGUCCACGCUGUAAACGAUGUGUGCUAGACGUUGGGAAGCCUAGCUUUUCGGUGUCGCAGCUAACGCGGUAAGCACACCGCCUGGGGAGUACGGCCGCAAGGUUAAA